GAGUUUGAUCCUGGCUCAGAACGAACGCUUGCGGCGUGCCUAACACAUGCAAGUCGAACGAGAAAGCCCUGCUUGCAGGGUAAGUAAAGUGGCGAACGGGUGAGUAACACGUGAGUAAUCUGCCUUAGGGACAGGGAUAACAUUCCGAAAGGGGUGCUAAUACCUGAUACGAUAAAGACUUCAUAUGGAGACUUUAUGAAAGGUGACCUCUUCUUGAAAGUUGCUGCCCUUAGAUGAGCUCGCGUACCAUUAGCUUGUUGGUGGGGUAAUGGCCUACCAAGGCUAAGAUGGUUAGCUGGUCUGAGAGGAUGAUCAGCCACACUGGAACUGAGACACGGUCCAGACUCCUACGGGAGGCAGCAGUGGGGAAUAUUGCGCAAUGGGGGAAACCCUGACGCAGCAACGCCGCGUGAGUGAUGAAGGCCUUUGGGUCGUAAAGCUCUGUCAGGUGGGAAGAGAACGGACGGUACCACCAAAGGAAGCACCGGCUAACCCCGUGCCAGCAGCCGCGGUAAUACGGAGGGUGCGAGCGUUGUUCGGAAUUACUGGGCGUAAAGCGCGUGUAGGCGGUCUACUAAGUCAGGUGUGAAAGCCCUCGGCUCAACCAAGGAAUUGCAUCUGAAACUAGUAGACUUGAGUACGGGAGAGGAGAGUGGAAUUCCCGGUGUAGAGGUGAAAUUCGUAGAUAUCGGGAAGAACAUCGGUGGCGAAGGCGGCUCUCUGGACCGAUACUGACGCUGAGACGCGAAAGCGUGGGGAGCAAACAGGAUUAGAUACCCUGGUAGUCCACGCUGUAAACGAUGGGCACUAGGUGUAGAGGGUAUUGACCCCUUCUGUGCCGCAGCUAACGCAUUAAGUGCCCCGCCUGGGAAGUACGGCCGCAAGGCUAAAACUCAAAGGAAUGACGG
RNAcentral lists this ribosomal RNA (908 nucleotides) under uncultured bacterium. Its description in RNAcentral is "bacterial SSU rRNA". It matches the Rfam family "Bacterial small subunit ribosomal RNA", at positions 9 to 916 of the family's 1533-position model. The record is from RNAcentral.